This 384-nucleotide ribosomal RNA is filed under the name Triticum aestivum (bread wheat). RNAcentral's name for it is "partial small subunit ribosomal RNA". Lineage: Eukaryota; Viridiplantae; Streptophyta; Magnoliopsida; Poales; Poaceae. The record is from RNAcentral.
CCACCUGGUGGUUUUGUAAAUUAUUUGCGCAAUCCAUCGAGCUUUAUCCUUCCACAACAAAUUCCUCCUCAACCAGCCAUGUCACAUGAUGCUCAUUUCGUGGCACCACUGACAUUUGCAUCUGAAAAGAAUCCAAUUAGAGCAGCGAAGAAACGAUCCAAGCGUGUCCAUGUUGAAAUUGAAGAUGAUGAAGGGGAAGGAAAAACUAUGAAGAGACUGUCAUGGACAUCAGAGGAGGAUGAUAGAUUGAUGAGUGCUUGGCUCAGAAACUCAAAUGAUUCUAUCGGUGGUAAUUUUAAGAAGAAUUACAAAUAUUGGGGAGAUGUGGUCACGGACUACAAUAGCAACACCCCCUCAGAUCGCAGAAGACAAGUCAAUCAAGCU